RNAcentral lists this unclassified non-coding RNA (392 nucleotides) under uncultured bacterium. Its description in RNAcentral is "contains 16S-23S intergenic spacer region". The record is from RNAcentral.
UCCAGCUCAUCGCUGGCAGUUCCAAUAGAGUGCUCAGCAUCCUUACGGACCUGGUGGCAACUAUUAGUGAUGGUUGCGCUCGUUAUGGCACUUAAGCCAACACCUCACGGCACGAGCUGACGACAGCCAUGCAGCACCUGUAUAGAAUCCCGGACUGGUUACGGGUCGUCCCCCUUUCAGGUUCCUACUCUCUAUAUGUCAAGCCUGGGUAAGGUUCUUCGCGUAGCAUCGAAUUGAACCACAUGUUCCACCGCUUGUGCUGGCCCCCGUCAAUUCCUUUGAGUUUCAACCUUGCGGUCGUAGUCCUCAGGUGGGACACUUAACGGGUUUCCUACGGCACUGAUUCCUAAAGGAACCAACACCUAGUGUCCAUCGUUUACGGCUAGGACUAC